Molecule: long non-coding RNA, 2096 nt
Filed under: Mus musculus (house mouse)
Lineage: Eukaryota; Metazoa; Chordata; Mammalia; Rodentia; Muridae
Description: RIKEN cDNA 9630013D21 gene
Source: RNAcentral
CUUUUAUUUAGCUAGUUUCCUCGGCAGGUUUGGCCGCUGGCUGGUCUCUGCCCCUCUAUGGACCCGGGAUGCCUCUCGCACCUCGGUGCCUCCUGCAGCCCCCACAUCACCCCAUGCCCUGCGCGCUGCACAGAGCGUGCCCGCACGAGCCACAGCCUCUGCCCUUCGUGGCCUCGCUUGACCUGGCUGUCCCGGGCACCCGGAGCCACCAAGGCUGCCCCCAGCCCAGUCCGGAGCUGGCCUGUCUCCCAGCCCAGUUUCCUUCCCUGAGCUUUAGGACGGGUCCCGCCCGGGGCUUGGAAGCCCACAACCCUGCGGCAGCAAAAGGCAAAGGGCGGGAGGAGAGCUACAAAGGAGGCCGGUGGCCGCAGCCAGAGUCAGCCCCCAGCCGUGGGUAACCUUGGAGGCGCCCUCGAGUGAGUGUGAGCGCGGAGAUCGUGGCUAGCCGGCGCACCCGGAGGGGCGGGAGGAGGGAGCUGGGAGUUGGGAAAGGGGAACCGCUCCCCAAGAACCCCAGGAGUUGUGGGCGACCACAGCAGCCAGCUCCAGGUGCUGGCCCCGGGGCAGCCCUCCCGCUGGGUAAAGUUGGCCCCGGGGCUGCGGCUGGAGGGCAGUGCGCGAGCUGAGGAGAGCAGGCCGGUGAGUUCCUGGCUGGCCGCGGAGGUGAGCUGGCGGCCGGAGCCGCGGGCGCGCUGCACCACUCGGUGCCCUACUCAGAGUAGCUCUCCCUUCCUCCCCUGGCGAUGACAGCUGAGGACAGCCGGGCUUCCCAGCCAGGCGUCCAACUGCUAAGAAGACAAAUUCUUCUCUGGCUUUUUACCGUCUUGGACUGUUCACAAAACUGCCCCAAGGUUUUGCUUUUCCUCCGUAGUAUACUAGACAUCCGGAACCGAAAAUACACCUUCUUCAUUCAAAAAGACCCCAGCCUGAGCGGUGACCUUCAGGGCUGGGGUGUGCAGAACACCUAGGAUUAUGGGGGUUUUUUGUUUGUUUGUUUGGUUGGUUGGUUUUUUUGUUUUGUUUUUUGUGGGUUUUCUCUUUUUUCUUUCUUCUUUCUUUUUCUUUUUUUCAAUCUUCAGCGGUGCCUCAAAAGAACCCCCCUUUUCUCCCAACCCCCAGAUCUGUAUAUAGACCUGGUAAAUUAAGAUUCCAGGGAAAUAUUUUGCCAUCUGUGCAGAGACACUGUGUGGACUUUAGGUGUUAGGAUGUGGUUUUGGAAUUUUCUGUGCUGUCUUUAACUCUCAGUAGACAUUAAAAUAACAGCUUGGUCUCGGCCAGCAAGUGAGCAAAGGUUAUCCCAGCUACCACAGCACCUGCAGAAGCACAAGUGGAACUCACACAUUUUGCUUCCCGUGUUCUAAAAUGGAUUCUGAGCCAUCCAGAGAAAUCCGCACAGAGGGGAACCUGAGAACAGAGGUGUACAUAUUAAAAAUUACACAGGUGAGCUCCUUUUCACUGAUGAUCCAGAGAGGAUGUGAGUUAAAAUCUUAGAACCGAAAGCACCGAACAGCUCCUACUUCUGCCUGAUUCUCUUGAAAGACCUUGUAGCAUAAUCUAAGGUCAGCAAAUGAAGUUUCUGGCUACCAACAUAAAAGAACUUUAAGAAUCAGUUCCCUGUAGGGAAAAAUAACAUCUCAAAAUAAAAGGAUGGAAAUAGCACACAUUUUUUUAAGCAGAAAAUAUUAUACAGAGGAUCAAGCAACAGAAUAUACUGAAGAAAAAUAAGAUCAAAGCAUUGGACAUAAAAAACAACCUCCAGAAUGACAAUGAUAUUAAAUCAGCUAACAGAAAUGUCACCUCUCACAAAUUCACAAAAUUCAUUUACUGAUUUGAAGAAAAGGAUUUCCAAGAAAAACUAUUUAAAUCUCCUUCCUUUAGAUCAAAAGAUUACUGGAAAGCAACAUGAAUAUCCGGAAAAAAAAAAAUCCAGUGGUCUCUGUGUGGGUCUCUGACAGCAAUUUUUUAAAGAUUUCUGAGAUUGUUUCAAUGUAAUUGUGCAUAUAUUAGCAUUUUGAAAAGGUUCUCCAUAAAACCUUGGAUUAUACAGAAUUGUGUCAUCAUUUGCAGACUAAUAAAUUAUGUACACAUAAGAGACA